GAUGAACGCUGGCGGCGUGCUUAACACAUGCGAGUCGAACGGAAAGGCUCCUGCUUGCAGGGGUACUCGAGUGGCGAACGGGUGAGUAACACGUGGGUGAUCUGCCCUGCACUUCGGGAUAAGCCUGGGAAACUGGGUCUAAUACCGGAUAGGACGAUGGUUUGGAUGCCAUUGUGGAAAGUUUUUUCGGUGUGGGAUGAGCUCGCGGCCUAUCAGCUUGUUGGUGGGGUAAUGGCCUACCAAGGCGUCGACGGGUAGCCGGCCUGAGAGGGUGUACGGCCACAUUGGGACUGAGAUACGGCCCAGACUCCUACGGGAGGCAGCAGUGGGGAAUAUUGCACAAUGGGCGCAAGCCUGAUGCAGCGACGCCGCGUGGGGGAUGACGGCCUUCGGGUUGUAAACUCCCUUCGCUAGGGACGAAGCGCAAGUGACGGUACCUGGAGAAGAAGCACCGGCUAACUACGUG
RNAcentral lists this ribosomal RNA (466 nucleotides) under uncultured bacterium. Its description in RNAcentral is "partial 16S ribosomal RNA". It matches the Rfam family "Bacterial small subunit ribosomal RNA", at positions 28 to 507 of the family's 1533-position model. The record is from RNAcentral.